RNAcentral lists this ribosomal RNA (479 nucleotides) under uncultured bacterium. Its description in RNAcentral is "bacterial SSU rRNA". It matches the Rfam family "Bacterial small subunit ribosomal RNA", at positions 28 to 534 of the family's 1533-position model. The record is from RNAcentral.
GAUGAAUGCUGGCGGCGUGCCUAACACAUGCAAGUCGAACGGUAGCAGGUCUAGUUUACUAGAUGCUGACGAGUGGCGGACGGCUGAGUAACGCGUGGGAACGUGCCCUAAAGUGAGGGAUAACGCACCGAAAGGUGUGCUAAUACCGCAUAUGAUCUUCGGAUUAAAGAAUUUAUUCGCUUUAGGAGCGGCCCGCGUCGGAUUAGGUUGUUGGUGAGGUAAUGGCUCACCAAGCCGACGAUCCGUAGCUGGUCUGAGAGGAUGACCAGCCAGACUGGAACUGAGACACGGUCCAGACUCCUACGGGAGGCAGCAGUGAGGAAUCUUCCACAAUGGGCGAAAGCCUGAUGGAGCAACGCCGCGUGCAGGAUGAAGGCCCUCGGGUCGUAAACUGCUUUUAUUAGUGAAGAAUAUGACGGUAACUAAUGAAUAAGGAUCGGCUAACUACGUGCCAGCAGCCGCGGUAAAACGUAGACGUG